CUGUCGCCGGCGGCGCGCGUGUGGGGUUAUUCUGCUCAGCCCCGCUCCGGCGCGUUCGGUGGGGGGUGUGGAGGCUCUGCGGGUCGUUGUUGGUUCGCGAUGGAAGCUGGAGGAGGAAGAUGGAGAUGGAUCGUGGCGGCGGGGCCCGGCGCGCCCGUUAGGCCUCGGCUCACUGUGAGGGCGGGAGCGGCUGCGUGGGAGCGCCCUUCGCUGUCGCCGCUUUGCUUUGUGCGGCGAGAGCAGCUCGGAAAAGCUCAGAGCGAAGCGGACGGGGAAAAUAGACGGUGCAGACACGAGCACCGGCUGCUUGCGCUCUGCAGCUCUACUUAAAGAUUUCCGGGAGGUGGUAGGGCUCACUGUUGCCUGUUCGGAUGUGAACGAGUGGUUCUAGUGAUGUUGGGGAGGGAGAACCCUCUCUGGGGAGGCUUUCAAAUGUGUAUUGUAAGUGAGGAGGUACCCCUGCCCCUUUAUUCGGGUUGUAGGCUGAGCUCUAGAAGGCCUCGAACCUCCUGUGCUGUUGGAAGAGUAUCAGAGCUCCCUUGGCAUUCCAUGUGCCCGCACAUGAUGAAAACUAUGUUGGUAGGGACAUCUGAGAGACUGAUGAGUACCAACAUAUCUGAGCUGGACGUGGAACCGGGGAGGGAGGCAGGCAGGCAGAUGGAGUGGCUGAGGCACCACGUGUUCAGUGCUCCUGGUGCUGCUGGAUCCACCCGCUUGCUGCAGUCAGUUGGAACAGUUCAGUGAUUCUGACCUGUUCCUGUGUAAGAUGAACUGGUUACACUCUUCCCUCUCCUGCGGCUUCAAAAUAGGCCUGCUGCUGAAUAUGAAGACUUGAUGCUACUUCACAAGGAUUUGAAUAAUGCACUCAUGGAAGAAACAUCACCUGGCACUGGGAAAAGCCACGAGAUGAAUGUGCAAGUCUGCCCUGCCUGGAGAUGGAAGAGUGCCUGUGCCCAGCAGAGCUGAUUUACCUUUGCUGAUGUUGAUGAACAUGCUGCUGUUAUAACUGAAGGCUUUGAAAGUGCUUCUCAUCAAGACUACUGUUGUGGAACUGUGAAGUGGUGCAGUUGGUUGUGCUGCAGGCAGAAAUUUGAGAACGGAAGAACUGCCCAAGAUUUUGUGCCAGAUACUUGGUUGAGUGAAGCUGAAGGGGAGCAUGUGAGAAAUAACACCAACUUUGAGGAAAGGACUGCUCUGCCACCUCACUGCGUGAGGAUGCAACUUUGGAACUGUAUGAGCAAACAGGUGGAAGAUCCCGGGAUAAUGGGUUGCACUUACAUGAGCGGCAUUAAAACAAGACUUUGUGAUGUCAACAUUUGCCUCAUACACUGAUUGGAGCCAAUAAAAUCUUGUAAACUCUA
This is a long non-coding RNA of Lagopus muta (rock ptarmigan), 1361 nucleotides long. RefSeq lists it as uncharacterized. Lineage: Eukaryota; Metazoa; Chordata; Aves; Galliformes; Phasianidae. The record is from RefSeq and is a predicted model, not a curated record. The transcript is spliced from 13 exons.